AUACGUAGGGGGCGAGCGUUGUCCGGAAUGAUUGGGCGUAAAGGGCGCGUAGGCGGCCCGGUAAGUCUGGAGUGAAAGUCCUGUUUUUAAGAUGGGAAUUGCUUUGGAUACUGUCGGGCUUGAGUGCAGGAGAGGUAAGUGGAAUUCCCAGUGUAGCGGUGAAAUGCGUAGAGAUUGGGAGGAACACCAGUGGCGAAGGCGACUUAGUGGACUGUAACUGACGCUGAGGCGCGAAAGUGUGGGGAGCAAACAGGAUUAGAUACCCUGGUAGUCCACACAGUAAACGAUGAAUGCUAGGUGUAGGGGGUAUCGACCCCUUCUGUGCCGCAGUCAACACAAUAAGCAUGCCGCCUGGGGAGUACGGCCGCAAGGUUGAAACUCAAAGGAAUUGACGGGG
Molecule: ribosomal RNA, 397 nt
Filed under: uncultured bacterium
Lineage: Bacteria
Description: partial 16S ribosomal RNA
Rfam family: Bacterial small subunit ribosomal RNA
Source: RNAcentral